RNAcentral lists this ribosomal RNA (429 nucleotides) under Verrucomicrobiota bacterium. Its description in RNAcentral is "Verrucomicrobia bacterium partial 16S ribosomal RNA". It matches the Rfam family "Bacterial small subunit ribosomal RNA", at positions 355 to 776 of the family's 1533-position model. The record is from RNAcentral. Lineage: Bacteria; Pseudomonadati; Verrucomicrobiota.
UAGGGAAUCUUCGGCAAUGGGGGGAACCCUGACCGAGCAACGCCGCGUGAGUGAAGAAGGUUUUCGGAUCGUAAAGCUCUGUUGUUAAGGAAGAACGAGUGUGAGAAUGGAAAGUUCAUGCUGUGACGGUACUUAACCAGAAAGGGACGGCUAACUACGUGCCAGCAGCCGCGGUAAUACGUAGGUCCCGAGCGUUGUCCGGAUUUAUUGGGCGUAAAGCGAGCGCAGGCGGUUAGAAAAGUCUGAAGUGAAAGGCAGUGGCUCAACCAUUGUAGGCUUUGGAAACUGUUUAAAUUGAGUGCAGAAGGGGAGAGUGGAAUUCCAUGUGUAGCGGUGAAAUGCGUAGAUAUAUGGGGGAACACCGGUGGCGAAAGCGGCUCUCUGGUCUGUAACUGAAGCUGAGGCUCGAAAGCGUGGGGAGCGAACAGG